Anthonomus grandis grandis is the source of this 680-nucleotide long non-coding RNA. RefSeq lists it as uncharacterized. The record is from RefSeq and is a predicted model, not a curated record. NCBI's taxonomy places the organism in Eukaryota, Metazoa, Arthropoda, Insecta, Coleoptera, Curculionidae. The transcript is spliced from 2 exons.
GCAGGAUCGGAGGAUAUUUAUGUCCCCAGUGUAAAAUGGUUUAAGGAAAUGGACACAUUUUUACGUAACGUAGAGGAUAAUAAGAGGCCUACGCAGGAUAAUUUCAAUAUACAACGCGAAGAAGAAGUUAAUGAACAAAAAUGAGAAAAUAAAGAAAAAAUAAUGGCUGCAAGAAACGAAACGUCUCAGGAAGUACCGCAGAAAAAAAGUAGAACUACGUCAAAAUUGAGGCAAGUUACUGCAGUAGUUAACGACCUAAAAAAAAUAAGCGAAACUCUGACACAUGAACCUGCCAAUGAGCAUGAAUACAUAGCUUUUGGUCGCAGUGUUGCUGCACAAUUAGUGACGUUAACUCCUCUUUCCGCCAUACAAGUACAGGAACGCAUUCAGUCUGUUCUGAUAAGUUUUAAAUUACAAGACCUUCAGGCCCAGAGUAACCAGUACGACUCAUAUGCAGAUACCAGUAGUGCUCACGCCUCAUCUUCCAUCUAUACACUACUGCAGUCCCCUACAUAUUCCGACAUGCAUUCUUCGCAUAGCGAUAGAUCCACAUAUAUAACUCGUGCAGAAUCAGUUGCCGAUGAUAUUGUACGAUCACAGAUAAUAGCAAAAGCUUUUUCCAACAUUUAACAUGUUUUGUUCAUCAAAAACUUUUUCGUAAUAAAAAUAUUUAAAAAUAA